AUUGAACGCUGGCGGCAGGCCUAACACAUGCAAGUCGAGCGGUAGAGAGAAGCUUGCUUCUCUUGAGAGCGGCGGACGGGUGAGUAAUGCCUAGGAAUCUGUCUGGUAGUGGGGGAUGACGUUCGGAAACGGACGCUAAUACCGCAUACGUCCUACGGGAGAAAGCAGGGGACCUUCGGCCCUUGCGCUAUCAGAUGAGCCUAGGUCGGAUUAGCUAGUUGGUGAGGUAAUGGCUCACCAAGGCGACGAUCCGUAACUGGUCUGAGAGGAUGAUCAGUCACACUGGAACUGAGACACGGUCCAGACUCCUACGGGAGGCAGCAGUGGGGAAUAUUGGACAAUGGGCGAAAGCCUGAUCCAGCCAUGCCGCGUGUGUGAAGAAGGUCUUCGGAUUGUAAAGCACUUUAAGUUGGGAGGAAGGGUUGUAGAUUAAUACUCUGCAAUUUUGACGUUACCGACAGAAUAAGCACCGGCUAACUCUGUGCCAGCAGCCGCCGUAA
This 500-nucleotide ribosomal RNA is filed under the name uncultured bacterium. RNAcentral's name for it is "partial 16S ribosomal RNA". It matches the Rfam family "Bacterial small subunit ribosomal RNA", at positions 30 to 523 of the family's 1533-position model. The record is from RNAcentral.